AUUGAACGCUGGCGGCAGGCCUAACACAUGCAAGUCGAACGGUAACAGGAAACCGCUUGCUGUUUCGCUGACGAGUGGCGGCCGGGUGAGUAAUGUCUGGGAAACUGCCUGAUGGAGGGGGAUAACUACUGGAAACGGUAGCUAAUACCGCAUAACGUCGCAAGACCAAAGAGGGGGACCUUCGGGCCUCUUGCCAUCGGAUGUGCCCAGAUGGGAUUAGCUAGUAGGUGGGGUAACGGCUCACCUAGGCGACGAUCCCUAGCUGGUCUGAGAGGAUGACCAGCCACACUGGAACUGAGACACGGUCCAGACUCCUACGGGAGGCAGCAGUGGGGAAUAUUGCACAAUGGGCGCAAGCCUGAUGCAGCCAUGCCGCGUGUAUGAAGAAGGCCUUCGGGUUGUAAAGUACUUUCAGCGGGGAGGAAGGGAGUAAAGUUAAUACCUUUGCUCAUUGACGUUACCCGCAGAAGAAGCACCGGCUAACUCCGUG
Molecule: ribosomal RNA, 490 nt
Filed under: uncultured bacterium
Lineage: Bacteria
Description: partial 16S ribosomal RNA
Rfam family: Bacterial small subunit ribosomal RNA
Source: RNAcentral